UAACGCGUGAGUAACCUGCCCUGGAGUGGGGAAUAACAGCUGGAAACAGCUGCUAAUACCGCAUAAUGCAGUUGGGUCGCAUGGCUCUGACUGCCAAAGAUUUAUCGCUCUGGGAUGGACUCGCGUCUGAUUAGCUAGUUGGUGGGGUAACGGCCCACCAAGGCGACGAUCAGUAGCCGGACUGAGAGGUUGGCCGGCCACAUUGGGACUGAGACACGGCCCAGACUCCUACGGAAGGCAGCAG
This 244-nucleotide ribosomal RNA is filed under the name uncultured bacterium. RNAcentral describes it as "partial 16S ribosomal RNA". It matches the Rfam family "Bacterial small subunit ribosomal RNA", at positions 111 to 354 of the family's 1533-position model. The record is from RNAcentral.